GGAAGAUGCAUUGGUUUGAUGCACAGACCUUUUCGAUUGCUGUAGUAUUUGGGUUAUGGGAUUUUAAUGUAUAGGGUGGUUGUUGAUAUAAAUAUUUUUUGUUAAAUAAAUAUAAAUAUUGUUUUUAAAGAUUAUACUUGUAAUAUGUUCAAUCUCUCCUUAUUUCCCCUGCUCAUUAAUAAUAAUAAUAAUAAUAAUACAUUUAAUUUAGAGGCGCCUUUCAAGAAACCCAAGGUCACCUUACAGAGCAUAUAGUCAUCAUUCAAAACUAUGUAAAACAGACUAGGAAUAAAAGGAAAACAGAGGUUAAACAUGAAGAAUAAUAAUAAUUAAUAACACUCAAAGACGCCUAAAGUGAAGUGGGGACCUCACUAACCACCACCAAUAUGUAGCACCCACUUGGGUGAUGCACGGCAGCCAAUCGGUGCCAGAACGCUCACUACACACCAGCUUGAGGUGGAGAGUUAGGGAUGAGGUGGAGAGUGAGGGAAAAGAACAUUUAACACUAUCGAUCACAUUUAAACAAUAUCGACCACAUGUAAACACUAUCGACCACAUUUAAACACUAUCGCCCACAUUUAAACACUAUGGACCACAUUUAAACAUGUAAACCCUAUCGACCACAUUUAAACACUAUCGACCACAUUUAAACACUAUCGACCACAUUUAAACAUGUAAACCCUAUCAACCACAUUUAAACAUGUAAACCCCUCUCGACCAUAUUCAAACACUAUCGACCACAUUUAAACUAACGACCACAUUUAAAUUAUCGACCAUAUUUAAACACUAUCGACCACAUUUAAACACUAUCGACCAUAUUUAAACACUAUCGACCACAUUCAAACCCUAUCGACCACAUUUAAACCCUAUCGACCACAUUUAAACCCUAUCAACCAUAUUUAAACACUAUCGACCACAUUCAAACACUAUCGACCACAUUUAAACACUAUCGCCCACAAUUAAACACUAUAGAGCAUAUUUAAACACUAUCAACCAUAUUUAAACACUAUCCACCACAUUUAAACACUAUCCACCACAUUCAAACACUAUCGACCAUAUUUAAACACUAUCAACCAUAUUUACACGCUAUCGACCACAUUCAAAUACUAUCGACCACAUUUAAACCCUAUCGCCCACAUUUAAACACCAUCGCCCACAUUUAAACCCUAUCGCCCACAUUUAAACACUAUCGACCACAUUUAAACACUAUCGACCAUAUUUAAACACUAUCGACCACAUGUAAACACUAGCGAACAUAUUUAAACACUCACACAAUUUGAUAUAUAUCACUAUAUAUAUAUAUAUAUAGAUAUAGAUUUGUGCUGAUUAUAUUAUUACGAUCUAUCCUUGUAUUUAAAUUGCGGAUCCCCAUAAAGGGUAUAAAUUGCCAUCCCCGUAUUGGGUUCCAAUAGGUUGACUGACUCUCCGUCCAUCCUUCGUAUCAUCUGCUGUUCCAGCGCCAGACAAACGGCGGUGAUACUACCGACGGAAAAAGCCGUUACGUCCCAUUGUUUGGAGUGAAAGCAGUUUCUCCCUAUCCAUAUAAUAUAAAUAUAUAUAGAUCUACACAUAUAAAUAGUUUAUAAAAGAAUUAAAAGUUUACAAAAACACACUUAAAUUACUAAAAACAACGCAACACGCACGGAGCUACUGGAUAAUGUGCACAAAUGUACUGUAUGUAUGUUGCCAGUAGACACAUAGAAACCUCCCGGCAGGGUGCGCUUUGCAAGCACACAAAAAAAAUUGCGCGCAAAAAACAUAACAUUUCCCCUCCGCUGCUGCAACUCCAUCCU
Molecule: long non-coding RNA, 1793 nt
Filed under: Gadus morhua (Atlantic cod)
Lineage: Eukaryota; Metazoa; Chordata; Actinopteri; Gadiformes; Gadidae
Description: lncRNA (ENSGMOG00000025795.1)
Source: RNAcentral